RNAcentral lists this ribosomal RNA (253 nucleotides) under uncultured Bacteroides sp. RNAcentral's name for it is "partial 16S ribosomal RNA". It matches the Rfam family "Bacterial small subunit ribosomal RNA", at positions 524 to 776 of the family's 1533-position model. Lineage: Bacteria; Pseudomonadati; Bacteroidota; Bacteroidia; Bacteroidales; Bacteroidaceae. The record is from RNAcentral.
UACGGAGGAUCCGAGCGUUAUCCGGAUUUAUUGGGUUUAAAGGGAGCGUAGGUGGAUUGUUAAGUCAGUUGUGAAAGUUUGCGGCUCAACCGUAAAAUUGCAGUUGAAACUGGCAGUCUUGAGUACAGUAGAGGUGGGCGGAAUUCGUGGUGUAGCGGUGAAAUGCGUAGAGAUUAGGAAGAACACCAGUGGCGAAGGCGACUUACUGGACUGUAACUGACGCUGAGGCAUGAGAGCAUGGGGAGCAAACAGG